RNAcentral lists this transfer RNA (74 nucleotides) under Marine Group II euryarchaeote MED-G35. RNAcentral's name for it is "tRNA-Cys". It matches the Rfam family "tRNA". From Rfam's summary of the family: Transfer RNA (tRNA) molecules are approximately 80 nucleotides in length. Lineage: Archaea; Methanobacteriati; Thermoplasmatota; Candidatus Poseidoniia; Candidatus Poseidoniales. RNAcentral also lists the same sequence under 6 other names. The record is from RNAcentral.
GCACGAGUGGCAGAGCAGCUAUGCAAUGGACUGCAGAUCCAUGGACCCGGGUGCAAAUCCCGGCUCGUGCUCCA